RNAcentral lists this long non-coding RNA (391 nucleotides) under Mus musculus (house mouse). RNAcentral describes it as "predicted gene, 49694". Lineage: Eukaryota; Metazoa; Chordata; Mammalia; Rodentia; Muridae. The record is from RNAcentral.
GCUGAAAUGGCGCCUGCGCAGUAAAGGAAGCUGCUGUCGCGGGUCCUGGAUGUUAUUGGUAUCUUUCCCCGACCCCGGGUGCAAAGAACAUUUGGAGACCUAACCUUUGCUUCACGUCCAGAAUCGAAAUGCCAUCUUUAAAGCCCAAGCAUGUUAUGAACCCUAAAAACUGAAAUAGCGGGGAGGGAAAAAUGUGCAACGUUGAGCAGUGAGGAAGACAGGAAGGCCCUGCAUGCUUGCACAGCAAACAACUGCGGACAGCACCCGUGCUGUGCACCUUCCGGAAGGGGGAAAGAGCGAGGUCCUGAUGGAAACUCACACAGUAUAUCCAUAUGUAACUAUAUAUCACUUUAUGUUAUGUAUCAGUUAAAUUAAACUAAAAUCUAAAAUA